UUUCCGGUUGAUCCUGCCGGACCCCACUGCUAUCGGGAUAGGACUAAGACAUGCUAGUCGAGCGCCUCCCAGCCACGACGGAGGCGCGGCGCACAGCUCAGUAACACGUGGCUAACCUGCCCUCGGGACGGGAAUACCCCCGGGAAACUGGGGCUAAUCCUCGAUAGGUGAAGAACUCUGGAAUGAGUCUCCGCCCAAAAGACGCUUAAAUCAUGCUUUUAGGCGCCGCCCAAGGAUGGGGCCGCGACCGAUCAGGUAGUUGGUGAGGCAACGGCUCACCAAGCCUUUAACCGGUGCGGGCCGUGGGAGCGGGAGCCCGGAGAUGGGCACUGAGACAAGGGCCCAGGCCCUACGGGGCGCAGCAGUCGCGAAAACUUUGCAAUACACGAAAGUGUGACAGGGCUAUCCCGAGUGCCAUCCGCUGAGGAAGGCUUUUACCCAGUCUAGAAAGCUGGAAGAAUAAGGAGAGGGCAAGUCUGGUGUCAGCCGCCGCGGUAAUACUAGCUCUCCGAGUGGUGUGGAUGUUUAUUGGGCCUAAAGCAUCCGUAGCUGGCCAAGUUAGUCCCCUGUUAAAUCCACCGAAUUAAUCGUUGGUGUGCGGGGGACACUGCUCGGCUAGGGGACGAGAGAGGCCGACGGUAUUUUCGGGGUAGGGGUGAAAUCCUAUAAUCCCGAGAGGACCACCAGUGGCGAAGGCUGUCGGCUAGAACGCGCCCGACGGUGAGGGAUGAAAGCUGGGGGAGCGAACCGGAUUAGAUACCCGGGUAGUCCCAGCUGUAAACGAUGCAGGCUAGGUGUUUGGGCGGCCACGGGCCGCUCUAGUGCCGCAGGGAAGCUGUUAAGCCUGCCGCCUGGGGAGUACGGUCGCAAGGCUGAAACUUAAAGGAAUUGGC
This 893-nucleotide ribosomal RNA is filed under the name uncultured archaeon. RNAcentral's name for it is "bacterial SSU rRNA". It matches the Rfam family "Archaeal small subunit ribosomal RNA", at positions 1 to 869 of the family's 1478-position model. The record is from RNAcentral.